AAACGUGCAGCUUGGAGUAGAUUAAAGGAUUUUUGAGCAAAGACUCUUCAGAAUUGAUCCAUAAGGAUUUAUACCACAACUUGUGAAAAAAAUGAAGGGGGUUGCAGUUCUUCUCUGCAUCCUAUUGGUGAUCAAGUCAUCUGGUGCUGCUCCGGCGAGAAAGUUGGCCGCAGAUGAUGGACAGCAGACAGGCGAAACACAGAAGAAGAUGGAGGGAUAUGGUAGGAUGCCAAAGACUAACGAUGGUAACCAUCAGUGCAAAGUUCCAAUGCUCCCAUGUUGUGCACCAAAGUUGGGAAAGGUCGGUCCUAAUUGUCGUCGUUGAAUGGAAAAUUUCUGGCAGCUGCAUCAAAGACAGAUCUAAGAAUAUUAUGGCGAAAGUAUUAUAUGUAUAAAUAAGCUGAUACUCGUCAACAGAAAGGUCGUCUACUUUCGCUAAAUUAGGUUACAUGAGUACUAGUAUAUUUAACAUAUAUAGAUGCCAAGAUCAUGGUUAUAAAUAUUAUUACCAGUUUCUUCUUGCAUCCAUGCGAAUGCACGAUGUACUAUGUGUACCUUCAGAUUGUAUAUAUAAUAUUUGAAUAAAUAAGAGUUGUCGAAAGUUUCGGCGA
This is a long non-coding RNA of Lolium perenne, 611 nucleotides long. RefSeq lists it as uncharacterized. The record is from RefSeq and is a predicted model, not a curated record. NCBI's taxonomy places the organism in Eukaryota, Viridiplantae, Streptophyta, Magnoliopsida, Poales, Poaceae.